CCAAAUCACCUCCAAUCUUCCUCAAAUUUUGUAUAUUGACUUAUCUAUAUGUUUUCAAUAAAUUUCGACUAUACCCAUUAAAAAAAUUCCUCGUUUGUUUCAAUUUUGGAAUAUUGGCUAGAGGUUGGUAAGUUGAAACUUAUAUGUGAUAUUUCUGUAAGUUUUCCUUUUUUAUUUGUCCACGGUAUCUUGCACCAGUCAAGGCAGCUAUUGUUCAUAAAACUGAUGUCAGAACUCAGUAGCACCUGCUUAUUUGACAAUGUUCUAAUGGACGAUUGUUCGCUAGUACAAAUAAACAUAAUUAGUUCCACAGAAAUUCCAGUAAUCUCUCAUUUCGUCUCUCUUAGUUCCCUUGUAGAACAUCAGUUGAAUGAGCUAUUGUACAAUAAAGCUCCCUCAACCACACAAUAAAGCACCAGGAAAACUGCUCUCCAGACCACGAGCAGCAAUUACUGCAAAUCUCAGACAUAUCUUUUGCAUAGCACAGCUUGUUAAUCCGAUUAUAACUUCAGAUAUUUACUAAUCAUUCAGACAGUUCUUUUGCAUAGCACAACUUGUUAAUCCGAUUAUAACUUCAUAUAUUUACUAGAACCAAUAACUUGAAAAUUCAAGUGACAUGAAGAAUAUGUCCAAAAUAAGUCAAUUUAGGGCUGCUCCUGUUGAGAAAAAAAAAACAUAUCUUGGACAGAAAGUGCUUCCCAGUAUGAUUAUACCUUUCUCGCUUUAAUAGCUUUCUUUUCCAGCUCUGCUUUAGCUCUUAUCUGUCUUCGCCUUAAAAUUCCAUGGUACUGUUUUGCAUUCAUGUAGACCGGUUCCUCUUCCAUGUCAAGAGGCAACGGCAUUCGGGCAUGAUGAAUUUCAAAUAAGUGAGGGUGUACCUGACAACUGUAGACAGGUUCCUCUUCCAUGUCAAGAGGCAAAGCCAUUCGGGCAUGAUGAAUUUCAAAUAAGUGAGGAUGUACCUGACAACACGCCAAAUUUUUAUGUAACGUUUAGCUUACCUAUAUUUUGCCUUCAAAGCAAAAUAAAGCUGCAACUCAAGCAUAGAAUAAUACAGAGCUACAAGUGCAGAAGCUAAAGGCCAACGGCUAGUACCAUGUACAAAUGCCCACAACUCCAAGGAUCAAUGAGGGUGAGAACUAAGUGCAAUUUAUUACAAAUAUAGCGUCGGGUUACCAAUCAAACAAGUACUCUUGAAUAAACAUAACCAGUUAGCAACUAUAACACGGCACCACUCCAUCACUAACAUAUUACCGUCACAGCUAGAAAAAAAACCAGAAUAAAGCGCCAAUUUCUCGAGUCUAAGGGUUUCAAAAUAAGCAGAUCU
This 1327-nucleotide long non-coding RNA is filed under the name Nicotiana benthamiana. RNAcentral's name for it is "long non-coding RNA (NBEN_LNC026508)". Lineage: Eukaryota; Viridiplantae; Streptophyta; Magnoliopsida; Solanales; Solanaceae. The record is from RNAcentral.